Otolemur garnettii (small-eared galago) is the source of this 105-nucleotide small nucleolar RNA. The record is from Ensembl. Lineage: Eukaryota; Metazoa; Chordata; Mammalia; Primates; Galagidae.
AUCCUCUUUUCAGGUCACAAAUGUGAGGACUGGGCUUUCGUGCUCAUGUGUGACGUAUGUCUCCCUCAAAUCUUGUUAUGAUGCUGGCACAUUACCUAUCUGACA